This 180-nucleotide ribosomal RNA is filed under the name uncultured bacterium. RNAcentral's name for it is "partial 16S ribosomal RNA". It matches the Rfam family "Bacterial small subunit ribosomal RNA", at positions 1320 to 1500 of the family's 1533-position model. The record is from RNAcentral.
AUGAAGUCGGAAUUGCUAGUAAUGGCAGGUCAGCAUACUGCCGCGAAUACGUUCCCGGGCCCUUGUACACACCGCCCGUCACACCAUGAGAGUUGGGAAUACCCGAAGCCUGUGAGCCAACAAACGAGGCAGCAGUCGAAGGUAGAAUCAAUGAUUGGGGUGAAGUCGUAACAAGGUAGC